UCCCUCCUCACUCUGAUCCAAGGACAAAGGCCCUCUGCUUUCAGAACCCCCAAAGGGAGUGCGGAGAGGAAUUGUGUUAUUCCAUGAAUACUGAGCAGGCCCAGGGCAAGCCCCAGUGGUUCUCAGCUGAGGCCAUGUGAGAUCUGGCCCUUCAAGCUUCCACUCAGUGGUCUCAGUGGAAGGACGAGUUCCUGUCAGGCUGCCAAUUAGGAGCAAUUGUUGAGGGCUGGAAUGCUAUAGAUCUGCAGAGUCAUGGGAGAGACCUUCAGGUGACAUCACAGAGCCAUGGAGAGACCUUCAGGUGACAUCACAGAGCCAUGGAGAGACCUUCAGGUGACAUCACAGAGUCAUGGAGACACCUUCAGGUGACAUCACAGAGCCAUGGAGAGACCUUCAGGUGACAUCACAGAGCCAUGGAGAGACCUUCAGGUGACAUCAGAGAGCCAUGGAGACACCUUCAGGUGACAUCACAGAGACAUGGAGACACCUUCAGGUGACAUCACAGAGCCAUGGAGAGACCUUCAGGUGACAUCAGAGAGCCAUGGAGACACCUUCAGGUGACAUCACAGAGUCAUGGAGACACCUUCAGGUGACAUCAGAGAGACAUGAAGAGACCUUCAGGUGACAUCACAGAGUCAUGGGAGAGACCUUCAGGUGACAUCACAGAGUCAUGGAGACACCUUUAGGUGACAUCACAGAGCCAUGGAGAGACCUUCAGGUGACAUCAGAGAGCCAUGGAGACACCUUCAGGUGACAUCAGAGAGCCAUGGAGACACCUUCAGGUGACAUCACAGAGUCAUGGAGACACCUCCAGGUGACAUCACAGAGCCAUGGAGAGACCUUCAGGUGACAUCACAGAGCCAUGGAGAGACCUUCAGGUGACAUCACAGAGCCAUGGAGAGACCUUCAGGUGACAUCAGAGAGUCAUGGAGACACCUUCAGGUGACAUCACAGAGCCAUGGAGACACCUUCAGGUGACAUCAGAGAGACAUGAAGAGACCUUCAGGUGACAUCACAGAGUCAUGGAGACACCUCCAGGUGACAUCACAGAGCCAUGGAGACACCUUCAGGUGACAUCACAGAGCCAUGGAGAGACCUUCAGGUGACAUCACAGAGUCAUGGAGACACCUUCAGGUGACAUCAGAGAGACAUGAAGAGACCUUCAGGUGACAUCACAGAGCCAUGGAGACACCUUCAGGUGACAUCACAGAGCCAUGGAGAGACCUUCAGGUGACAUCAGAGAGUCAUGGAGACACCUUCAGGUGACAUCACAGAGCCAUGGAGACACCUUCAGGUGACAUCAGAGAGACAUGAAGAGACCUUCAGGUGACAUCACAGAGUCAUGGAGACACCUCCAGGUGACAUCACAGAGCCAUGGAGAGACCUUCAGGUGACAUCACAGAGCCAUGGAGAGACCUUCAGGUGACAUCACAGAGCCAUGGAGAGACCUUCAGGUGACAUCACAGAGCCAUGGAGAGACUUUCAGGUGACAUCAGAGAGCCAUGGAGACACCUUCAGGUGACAUCACAGAGACAUGGAGACACCUUCAGGUGACAUCACAGAGCCAUGGAGAGACCUUCAGGUGACAUCAGAGAGCCAUGGAGACACCUUCAGGUGACAUCACAGAGUCAUGGAGACACCUUCAGGUGACAUCAGAGAGACAUGAAGAGACCUUCAGGUGACAUCACAGAGUCAUGGGAGAGACCUUCAGGUGACAUCACAGAGUCAUGGAGACACCUUUAGGUGACAUCACAGAGCCAUGGAGAGACCUUCAGGUGACAUCAGAGAGCCAUGGAGACACCUUCAGGUGACAUCAGAGAGCCAUGGAGACACCUUCAGGUGACAUCACAGAGCCAUGGAGAGACCUUCAGGUGACAUCACAGAGUCAUGGAGACACCUUCAGGUGACAUCAGAGAGACAUGAAGAGACCUUCAGGUGACAUCACAGAGCCAUGGAGACACCUUCAGGUGACAUCACAGAGCCAUGGAGAGACCUUCAGGUGACAUCACAGAGUCAUGGAGACACCUUCAGGUGACAUCAGAGAGACAUGAAGAGACCUUCAGGUGACAUCACAGAGUCAUGGGAGAGACCUUCAGGUGACAUCACAGAGUCAUGGAGACACCUUUAGGUGACAUCACAGAGCCAUGGAGAGACCUUCAGGUGACAUCAGAGAGCCAUGGAGACACCUUCAGGUGACAUCAGAGAGCCAUGGAGACACCUUCAGGUGACAUCACAGAGCCAUGGAGAGACCUUCAGGUGACAUCACAGAGUCAUGGAGACACCUUCAGGUGACAUCAGAGAGACAUGAAGAGACCUUCAGGUGACAUCACAGAGCCAUGGAGACACCUUCAGGUGACAUCACAGAGCCAUGGAGAGACCUUCAGGUGACAUCACAGAGUCAUGGAGACACCUUCAGGUGACAUCAGAGAGACAUGAAGAGACCUUCAGGUGGCUCCAGCUCACUUUUUCCCCGAUGCUUCCCUCUUCUACCCUUCUUAGCCAUCUGGUCAUCAGGAGCUUUGCCUCCUUGGAGCCACUCCAUACUUUAGCCACCAACUUUAUCUUAAAUUUGACAUCACAGGUGUUGAAAAUCAUCAGGAUCAACCCCCCCCUCAUUUAAAUACCUCUAAGGUAACCAAGACUGAUCUUUGGCCCAGCGUGCGGUCUGUCUUGCUGAGCAUGCGCCUCUGUACUGCUGGGGUGUCCUGUGGCUACUGGCUAGGUCAACUUGGCUGGUGGUGCAGGAGAAACUCUGUGAGUGUGUGUGUGUGUGUGUGUUGCUCACUUUGAACUUUGGAGAAACGUGUGUGUCCUGCCGGAUGACCUCACUGAUGUCUGCUGGUCCUCUCCGUGCAGGUACGCAAGCCUCACUUCUCAGCCAGGCUCAUCUUGUCUCUGCUCUCUACCUAGAGGAUCUGCUCAGUUUAUCGUUCGGCAUGAGUAAGAGACCUCAUGCGGCCAGUGCCACCACCAAGGGUUUUAUUUUUUUUCUGUGUGUCUCAGCUAGAGGUUCUAUUGCCACGACGAAACACCCUGACAAGGAAGCAAGUUAGGGAGGAAAGGGUUUAUUCAUCUUAUACUUGAGCAUUGCUGUUCAUCACUGAAGGAAGUCAGGACAGGAACUCAGGCGAGGCAGGAGCCUGGAGGCAGGAGCUGAUGCAGAGGCCAUGGAGGGAGGCUGCUUCCUGGCUUGCUCCCAUGGUUUGUUCCAGACUGCCUUCUCACAGGACGCAGGGCUACCAACCCAGGGAUGGUGCCACACACCACGGGCUGGACCCUCCCCAGUUGAUCGAUAAUCGAGAAAAUGCCUUACAGCUGGAUCUCAUGGAGGGAGGCAUUUCCUCAGCUGAGGCUCCUUCCUCUCUGAUGACGCUAGCUUGUGUCACGCUGACACACAAAGCCAGCCAGUACACUACCAGAGGAAGUGACGAAUGACUUUUAAAUUAAUCUGACUUGUCAUAUGGCAGAGUUAAAAAUUACUUGUCUAAAAAAAGGCCGGUGAACAAGGGCUUAAUUUUAGCUAAUGAUUCUAAAACAAGUGCUUACAAAAUGCAAGUUUUAAGUCCCGAACCGGAAGACGCUCUCUCAGACAAGCAGGGAAGUGGCCUGUCUAAGUAGAGUUCCAAAUGCAUUGUUUCCUCCUCCCAAGACCCAAUACUGCCUGGUUCCCACCUUCCGGGCUCUCCUGAGGUCCAGGCUUUCCUCCGAAGCGGAAGCAAAGGGCCAGCCUGUCCUCCGAGGCCCCCACCUCCUUCCGUAUCCCAUUGCCUGUGAUGGCCGCCUCCUGGGAGCAGCUCUCCAGCAAAUCUUUUGAGACUAGCUGUCAGCCAUCACUUCCCUAAGCCACCAGCAUUGACAGCAUGAGGAGCGGCUGGUUCUGCACCCAGGCUCCAGCACAGCUGAGCCUGGAGACAGACGCAGAAGGUCUUCAUCUCAGCGUGUGUCCCUUCACUCCAGGGAAUGUGCCCCUGCGUGGACUUGAAAGGUGCACAUCCCUGACCCAUCCGUGGCCCUGCUGUGACAGGAUUGCGUGUUCCCAAGAUCAUCCCAGGAAGAGAGCAGAGGCCAGAACGCAGGGGAGGGAUUGCACACGUGUCCAGAGAAACCUCUGUAGCAUUCUUUUUUUUUUUAUCAACACAUUCAACUAAAAACAAAUGACACAAACCAUCUGGUUUGUUUAAUAAAAACGGAGCAACGUAAACAGCUAAGGCCAACCUCUCAACAGACAGCAAGUGGCCAUGCCUUAGUAAUAUCGCUGCUGUGCCCCAAUAUUGGAAAAACCUCUAAAAAGGCCACAGAGGCAUCAUUUACAUUGUCACUGGGCCAGAAGACACCAUGUAUGGGGCCAAGUAAGUCGUCGUCGUGAGAUAGACGAAAAGAAACCCAGAAUAAAAUGGCAAAUGAAGAAAGAAGCCGCCUCCGUGUGCUGGGUGAAGAAGAAGACCCAGGAUAAGAAAGAGCAGGCUCCACUCCGAAGGGUGAAGGGGCAUGAGGAACUCCCAGGAAGGUGUGGAUCACACAUCCAGCUCCGCCCUCACAGCUCCUCAUCAUGGGGGAAGGGAAUCAGAAACCUCAUCCAGAAGGUCCACAACAGGGGCCACGGGAAGAAGGGAUGGGCAGAGCCACCCUCAGGGUACCUGAAGACCUUGCAACGUUUUCAAGUUCCAACCUUCCGAGUUCAACCCUUUAAGACCCAACCUCCAGAGUUCCAAGGUCUUGCGAACCUCAGAGGCGUGGCCUUGAUGAGACCUGGCAGGAAGGGUCAGUAGUGGAGAGGAGGGACUCUUCAUUCUCCUCAGUUCACAGAGAACCUAUCAGUUGAAACUGUCAUCCCAGGGAGUCGAAGGACAGGGCACAGUUGCAAGUCAGGAAGCGUAAAGUCAACCUGGCCCAACCCUGAGAUGAGAGACAGAUAAUGGGAAGAAGUCGUGGAGAGCAGGAACCAAAUGCUGACAAAGCCAGAAGGCACAGUUGCAGGAGACUUGGCCAGCGGAGUGAAGUGUACUCAUGGGGAAAGCUUGCCCCAUCCUGAGUGUCUGGGAGCAGAUCCCAUCAACAGAAUGAGUCGAUAGCUCCAGGACUAUCGCAGCACUCUGGAACCACUAAUAUGUCCUGAGACUCAUUGUCUUAGAAACUUGGAACUUCAGAGCACCAGCAGGCUACAGAUACCCAUGCCCUCAUCCUCUUGGAGGGUGUGCAACACUAGCAGGGUAUAAAAAGGGUGGAUGCAGCUCUCAGUGCCUUGGCUGCUUCCCCAACUCUGAAUUUGCUUGGGGAACACCCCUUAGCCAGAACAUUAGCUAUCGCAGGUGGUAUGAACUGGGGUGGAGGGGGAGGUCUCAGGAGGGUGGUAAAAUGUCCAACCCCACAGACGUUUUAAGUGUGGCCCUCAGGGUCCCUGGUGCACAAAGGAAGUUACUACUGUGAAGACAGCUACGGUGUGCCGUGAAAUAUUGGGCUAACUAGGCAAAGGUGUGUUACAUUUGUUUAUGCAGCAUUUGUUUAACUAUGUGAAGAUGUGUUGCAUUUGUGUUAAUUAAAUAAAAUUAACCUGGGCUCAGAGGGGCGGGGUUGGCAACUAGUCGACAGGAAGAGCCGGGAGGAGCAUCAGAGUGUGAUUUUUUUUUUGUUUUGUUUUAGUUGGGGUGGUACGGAAUGAGAGAGGUUUCCCAGCUAAGAGAGAAAGCUAUGCAGUUGCUUCUGGAACUCUCUGAGCUCACAGGUUUUCCCACCCUAGCCUUUGAAUCUCAGCUCUGUUGGAACUCCAGCAAUUUAAUUAAAGCAGCAGCAACGCAGCCCUUGUCUGGGGGAACAGAAGUCUGUUAUCCCCCCCCAGGGGCUACGGUGGCUUUGGGAGCCGCCGCUGGAGGCUACCGGGUUAAAGCGACUGAGAGGAAGGUAAAAGAGCAGGGGUAGGCACAGGACACACGUUUGGUACAGCCUCAACACGGGUGUAACUCCUAGGAAGCAGAAGAGCCCACAAGCCAACUGGUGGCCCCCUCUCUUGGGUCUACCUCUCAUUCUAAUUUUAGAGUCACAGGAAGAAGCUGUACCAACAGUUCACCUUUCCUUAAUUUUUUUUUAGAAAGCUGUGUCCCACUUUUUUCUUUUAAACUAUGUAUUUUUUAAAACACCAUUUAUCAAUCAAUCUAUCUAUCUAUCUAUUUUGCAUCCCUGCCUCAGUUUCCCUUCUCUCCUCUCCGUCUCUCUCCUCCAUGCCCCACUCUGUCCCCACCCCGCAACCCACUCCUCCUCCUCCGUUAAAAUGUACCUUUGGCAUUUUGGCACAGGAAAUCCAUAGCCAACAUUGUGUGAGUGUUGAUGUUACAUGUGAAGCAGGAAAAACUGAAAACUUUUCUUUUAAAAUCA
This is a long non-coding RNA of Mesocricetus auratus (golden hamster), 6369 nucleotides long. RefSeq lists it as uncharacterized. The transcript has 5 exons. Lineage: Eukaryota; Metazoa; Chordata; Mammalia; Rodentia; Cricetidae. The record is from RefSeq and is a predicted model, not a curated record.